This 1094-nucleotide ribosomal RNA is filed under the name Triplophysa stolickai (Tibetan stone loach). RNAcentral describes it as "partial large subunit ribosomal RNA". It matches the Rfam family "Bacterial large subunit ribosomal RNA", at positions 144 to 2058 of the family's 2925-position model. The record is from RNAcentral. Lineage: Eukaryota; Metazoa; Chordata; Actinopteri; Cypriniformes; Nemacheilidae.
ACCACCAAAAUUAACUUCACACCAUAGAUAAUUUAACAUUAAUUAAACCAGGAAACUAAAUCAUUUUUCCACCUUAGUACGGGAGACGGAAAAGGUAAUAUUAAGCAAUAGAGAAAGUACCGCAAGGGAAAGCUGAAAGAGUAAUGAAAUAAUUCAUAUAAGCACAAAAAAGCAGAGCCUAGCCCUCGUACCUUUUGCAUCAUGAUUUAGCCAGCACCACCCAAGCAAAGCGACCUUUAGUUUGAGAUCCCGAAACCAAGUGAGCUACCCCGGGACAGCCUGUUUGGGCGAACCCGUCUCUGUGGCAAAAGAGUGGGAAGAGCCCCGGGUAGAGGUGAUAAACCUACCGAACUUGGUGAUAGCUGGUUGCCUAAGAAAUGAAUAGAAGUUCAGCCUCGUACCCCUUUAGCCAACCAGGAAAUAUCUAAGUAAGCAUGAGAGAGAAAUACGAGAGUUAGUUAAAGGGGGUACAGCCCCUUUAAUAAAGGACACAACCUUAAAUAGGAGGAUAAGAGUCACAUUUUAUAAAACUAGUCGUUCCAGUGGGCCUAAAAGCAGCCAUCUGAAUAGAAAGCGUUAAAGCUCAAACGACAUGCAGUUUAUUAUACUGAUAAAUAGCCCAACUCCCCUAAAAAUAUUAGGCCGUUCCAUGCCACCAUGGAAGAGACCAUGCUAGAAUGAGUAAUAAGAGGGUGCGACCCUCUCCUAGCACGAGUGUAAGCCAGAUCGGACAAACCACUGGAAAUUAACGAACCCAUAAAAAGAGGGUAAUGUGUUUACUAAAGAAUUCAAGAAAACGACACAACAUUCACAUCGUUAAACCCACACUGGAGUGCAUCAAGGAAAGACUAAAAGAAAGGGAAGGAACUCGGCAAACACAAGCCUCGCCUGUUUACCAAAAACAUCGCCUCCUGCAAACCCCUACGUAUAGGAGGUCCAGCCUGCCCGGUGACUACAAGUUUAACGGCCGCGGUAUUUUGACCGUGCAAAGGUAGCGCAAUCACUUGUCUUUUAAAUGAAGACCUGUAUGAAUGGCUAAACGAGGGCUUAACUGUCUCCCUUUUCAGGUCAGUGAAAUUGAUCUACCCGUGCAG